AUUGAACGCUGGCGGCAGGCCUAACACAUGCAAGUCGAACGAGUGGCGGACGGGUGAGUAAUGUCUGGGAAACUGCCCGAUGGAGGGGGAUAACUACUGGAAACGGUAGCUAAUACCGCAUACCAUCGGAUGUGCCCCGAUGGGAUUAGCUAGUAGGUGGGGUAAAGGAUCACCUAGGCGACGAUCCCUAGCUGGUCUGAGAGGAUGAACAGCCACACUGGAACUGAGACACGGGCCAGACUCCUACGGGAGGCAGCAGGGGGGAAUAUUGCACAAGGGGCGAAAGCCUGAUGCAGCCAUGCCGCGUGUAUGAAGAAGGCCUUCGGGUUGUAAAGUACUUUCAGCGAGGAGGUGUUACUCGCAGAGGAAGCACCGGCUAACUCCGUGCCAGCAGCCGCGGUAAUAC
Molecule: ribosomal RNA, 406 nt
Filed under: uncultured bacterium
Lineage: Bacteria
Description: partial 16S ribosomal RNA
Rfam family: Bacterial small subunit ribosomal RNA
Source: RNAcentral